CAUUAGAGAGAUAAUGGGAAAAGAGAAUUUGAAGGUAAGUAUUGAUCAUUAGCAAUAGCAACAAUAACUACCAUAAGUUGAAAUGCCCCACAGUCUUUGGGGAUGUGAUACAUGAGGGUAGGCAGGGCUAGAUGGGAUGAGGUAGGAUCUAGACAUCAGACUCAGGAGAUAUGAGUGGUAUAUAUAAGGUUAACAUCUAGUCAAAUGUAUAAACAGGUUGAUUUUAAUUGACGUCGGUUUUUCUCCAUUGCCCCCUCUAGAGGCAAUCUUCAGAGAGUCCUGGCUAGGUCUUCUAUGUUUCCUGUCCCUAGAGGGAGCUCCUGAGGCUGUGGACAUCCGUUAACAUGCUGAUGUCACUGGAGACCACAUCUUACAGGGCCAAGAGACAGAUUUGCUUUCCUUUUUCUCAUGCUUGCAAGCUCCUUCACCCGGAAACAUGAUUUACCUGGGUCCUGCCAUGGUUUCUAGGCUUCUCAGUUUAGUGUCCCUUUGUCUCCUGGGAGCAAAACAUACAGAAGCUGGAGUUACUCAGUUCCCCAGCCACAGGGUAAUAGAGAAGGGCCAGACUGUGACUCUGAGAUGUGACCCAAUUUCUGGACAUGAUUAUCUUUAUUGGUAUCGACGUGUUAUGGGAAAAGAAAUAAAAUUUCUGAUAUCCUUUAUGAGAGUGUCUACGCAGGAUGAGUCCGGUAUGCCCAACAAGCGAUUCUCAGCUGAAAGGACUGGAGGGACGUAUUCUACUCUGAAGGUGCAGCCUGCAGAACUGGAGGAUUCUGGAGUUUAUUUCUGUGCCAGCAGCCAAGACAUAGUGCUUCACAGUCAUGUCCUUGCUGUACAAAACCAUAGCCUUCUCCUCUCAACUCACAGCCGCCCAAAAGGAAGGCUUUCCCUGUGCCUCCUCCCCCAAGGGAGGGGAGAUAAAGAACCAGAACUAACUCAUGAAAUACAAGAGUAUUCCAAGAAGAUUUGGAUGAAAAUACUUGUAGUUUGGGGGAUCUCUGAAGUUCUUUAAACAGAACUCAAUCUAUGUGUUUCUGGUUUUAUUUUUUAAAGUGUUAUGUUGCCCUGGUUAAAAAGCACAGCAGCCUUCUUGUUUAUCCUGUUGCUCUGAAAGGUUUGUGACUCUGACUGUGAGGCCACAUCUUUAUAUCCCUUCUUAUAGUAAGAUAAACAAGUCUUUCUGAUGAAAAUAAAAAUAGUGAAUAAAAAUGCAUUUACUACAGGCUUUUAUGUUGCUCAAUGAUGAUGCUAGUAAGGGUGAUAGUGGUGACGCUGGUAAUGGUGGUGAUGAGUUUAGGUUGCUUUUGUCUAGCAUUUAUAAAUUUCCAAACACUUUAAAACAAUGUCAUUUUAGAGUGGAACGGCCAAGUCCAUU
This is a non-coding RNA of Cercocebus atys (sooty mangabey), 1375 nucleotides long. The record is from the annotation of a RefSeq genome assembly. Lineage: Eukaryota; Metazoa; Chordata; Mammalia; Primates; Cercopithecidae.